GACGAAGGAUGCAAGCGUUAUCCGGAUUCACUGGGUUUAAAGGGUGCGUAGGUGGGCUAGUAAGUCCGUGGUGAAAUCUCCAAGCUUAACUUGGAAACUGCCGUGGAUACUAUUAGUCUUGAAUAUUGUGGAGGUAAGCGGAAUAUGUCAUGUAGCGGUGAAAUGCUUAGAUAUGACAUAGAACACCGAUAGCGAAGGCAGCUUGCUACACAAUCAUUGACACUGAGGCACGAAAGCGUGGGGAUCAAACAGG
Molecule: ribosomal RNA, 253 nt
Filed under: uncultured bacterium
Lineage: Bacteria
Description: partial 16S ribosomal RNA
Rfam family: Bacterial small subunit ribosomal RNA
Source: RNAcentral